RNAcentral lists this long non-coding RNA (1025 nucleotides) under Marmota monax (woodchuck). Lineage: Eukaryota; Metazoa; Chordata; Mammalia; Rodentia; Sciuridae. The record is from RNAcentral.
CAGCCUUUAAAAAAAUAUCCAAGACUUCGAGGAGUCUCCAAUGGAGAUGUUUAGGUGACUUUCAGGUCCUCAGAGAGUGGUGGCUGGUCAAUGCAAAUCUUGGUCCAGACCUAGGUCUUGCCGCUGGCAGGGGCUGUGUUGGCGUCAGGAAGGCGCUUGGUGCAGCGGCAGAGACUCUAAGGGGGGUAUUGGGGAUCUGUGCCCCUCCUGCGCUCACGGAUAAGGGAAGCCCCUUCAAAGGGAUCCGCGGGUAAUAGAAUCCUUUGCAGACAGCUUCAAGUGGAGAGCCAGCCGAGUACACUACAGGGUCUCAAAACGCUGUGCUUCUAAAAAAAAAAAAAAAAAAAUGUAGUUGGAUUUAAAAAUGCGUUGACUGAAAUUCAUUUAAGAUUAGACACUGCAUGAAUAUUCUACACCAUCCAUCCAUGCACUCAUCUAUCUGUUUUAGAUGGACUCUUGAGUGACUGACUGUUUUGCCUAAGUCGUCGAAUGUUGCUGGCCAGAUGCCCUCUCAUCCCCAAUAGUAGAGAUCCAUGGCCGCGUUUUGCUUUGGUCUCCUUCCCUCCCCCAGAAUGUGGCUAUUUUUCCCAGCCCGCGGGCGUGUAUGUAGGUGUAUGCCUAGACUGUGUUUACCAAAGUGUCCUUCUAGUUAUCAGGCAGCGACAUCCGCUCCACUGAAGGUUAAAGGAUCGAAAUGGUUUCAUAGGUGUUCGGAUGAUUCCCCAGCAUUAAGGAAAAGAUAAGUGCCCUGAUUGUCUUUAUUUUUCCUUUAUUUCCCCUCUGGAUUCCUUUUGCACUUUGAUCCUUAGCAAGAAGGGAAAGGGAAGAACUGCAGGCACUCCCCUCUCCUCCUUCCUUCCCCGCCUCUGUUCCUACCCAAACACGAACACAUUCACCCACUCACAUGCAUCUACACCCAGCUAGUGCCUCCACCUUCUGUUCCCACUCCGAAGUGGAUAGCGGCGGGGACCGGAGAGGAGAAAGUGCAUAUAGCAUGUUUGGCCGCUCUUGUUUCUCCAGGUCUG